This 441-nucleotide ribosomal RNA is filed under the name uncultured bacterium. Its description in RNAcentral is "partial 16S ribosomal RNA". It matches the Rfam family "Bacterial small subunit ribosomal RNA", at positions 339 to 795 of the family's 1533-position model. The record is from RNAcentral.
CUACGGGUGGCACCAGUAGGGAAUCUUCCGCAAUGGGCGAAAGCCUGACGGAGCGACACCGCGUGAAGGAUGACAGCCUUAGGGUUGUAAACUUCUUUUCUGAGGGACGAAAAUCUGACGGUACCUCAGGAAUAAGCCCCGGCUAAUUACGUGCCAGCAGCCGCGGUAAUACGUAAGGGGCAAGCAUUAUCCGGAAUCAUUGGGCGUAAAGCGUCCGCAGGUGGUAUAGUAAGUCUGUCAUUAAAUACCAGUGCUCAACAUUGGUGCUGUGAUGGAAACUGCUACACUAGAGGAUUGGAGAGGCAUAUGGAAUUGUACAAGUAGGGGUAAGAUCCGUAGAUAUGUACAGGAAUACCAAAAGCGAAGGCAGUAUGCUGGCCAAUUCCUGACACUCAGGGACGAAAGCGUGGGUAGCAAAAGGGAUUAGAUACCCCGGUAGUC